GAGGGGGAGGAGGACAAGGAGGUGCCCUCACAAGCAGUUACUCAUCCCUCAGGAGAAAGAGAGAGAUUCCGAACUGGGAGCCCUUUUGGACUAACGCCUAUGAGGCGAAGGAACUCCAUGAUGAAGACAUGUUCUUCAAGAAAGUCAAAGCUGCUGAUGCCACCAGAUGUGGCCAGAGGCUCGUCUGUGAGCUGGCUGCAAGGUCUGCUACAGACUUGCAGUUGGAUGAGCUUACCUUGCUGCAGGUUCUAAGAGAGAAGCGUCCACGAUUCACCAAGAGAGGCGGUGCAAGAGCAGCCUACGAAUUCGCGAUGGACGCCGGCUACUCUGGGGCAGCCUGCCAGGACCUGUACUCGACGUGUCCUUACACGAGUCAACAUAUGAUGGCCAUCGUGAGAUCGGUGUCCAGGAAGGUUUCCUCCAUGAUGGAGGAUAGCCUGUAGUUCAAGUUAGGAAUUUAUUGUAACUAUUUCUCCCUUUAUUAUAUGGUUUUUGUUUCCACAGAUUUCAGUACUGAGUAUUGCCACACCAGGAAACAAUAAUUUCCCUCCAUCUCACACCAUAUCUCAAGACAGAUUUCAGAAUCGAAAUAGCAAGUUUCCGAGACAAAUUGAGGAUCUUUUUAGCCCAUAGCUUCCUACCUUCAUUUUAUUCAGAGGAUCUUAUUCAGUUUUCUUCACAUUUUUUUUUUUUUUUUUUUUUUUUAAAUAAUCGACUGAGGGUUCUAUAUCUCAAGACAGAUAUAUCAGAAUCGAAAUAGCAAGUUUCUUAGACAAAUUGAGGAUCUGUUUACUUCACAGCUUCCUACCUUCAUUUUAUUCAGUUUUCUUCUCAUUUUAUUUUUUCUUUUAGAAAUAAUCGACUGAGGGUUCUAGUGCGGAACCGGUACUGUCAUGUUAAGCCAAUAUCUUUCUAUAUUAGGAAAAUAUUUAUUUAUCUACUAUGCCAAGAGUCGAAUUAGAAAAAAAAGUGUAGGGAUUUUUUCAAAUGCCUUUAAACUAGGAAGAUAAAGUUUAUUUUUGUAUCUUCUCUUGUAUAUACUUAUUGUAUGAUUCUUUAGUAGUCAUCAACUUUAGGUAAA
Molecule: long non-coding RNA, 1081 nt
Organism: Macrobrachium nipponense
Lineage: Eukaryota; Metazoa; Arthropoda; Malacostraca; Decapoda; Palaemonidae
Exons: 3
Source: RefSeq, a predicted model, not a curated record